GACGGGGGCCCGCACAAAGCGGUGGAGCAUGUGGUUUAAUUUGAUGCAACGCGAAGAACCUUACCUGCUCUUGACAUCCAGCGAAUCCUUUAGAAAAAGAGGAGUACCUUCGGGAACGCUGAGACAGGUGUGGCACAGCUGUCGUCUCCUCGUGUUGUGAAAUAUUGGGAUAAGUCCCGCACCGAGCGCAACCCCUAUCCUUUGUUGCCAGCUCGUCAUGGUGGGAACUCAAAGGAGACUGCCGGUGAUAAACCGGAGGAAGGUGGGGAUGACGUCAAGUCAUCAUGGCCCUUACGAGUAGGGCUACACACGUGCUACAAUGGCAGAUACAAAGAGAAGCGACCUCGCGAGAGCAAGCGGAACUCAUAAAAUCGGUCGUAGUCCGGAUUGGAGUCUGCAACUCGCCUCCAAGAAGUCGGAAUCUGUUAGUAAUCCCGGGCU
Molecule: ribosomal RNA, 441 nt
Filed under: Proteus mirabilis
Lineage: Bacteria; Pseudomonadati; Pseudomonadota; Gammaproteobacteria; Enterobacterales; Morganellaceae
Description: bacterial SSU rRNA
Rfam family: Bacterial small subunit ribosomal RNA
Source: RNAcentral